RNAcentral lists this long non-coding RNA (650 nucleotides) under Olea europaea subsp. europaea. The record is from RNAcentral. Lineage: Eukaryota; Viridiplantae; Streptophyta; Magnoliopsida; Lamiales; Oleaceae.
CAUCUGGGCAUUAUUUUGACUUUUGAGAGGUUAGGAGAGAGGGGUAGAGAGGGAUCUACUUUGUAUUCAUGUAUUCUUCACUCCUCUCAAAAUCCUCAAUCGAGACUUCAAAUCUUCAUCUCUUUUCGGAUUUUGGUUCUGUUACUUGGAGUGUUGAAAGAAGGAAAUGCAAAAUGUCAACUAGUCCAUCAUCACUCAAAAAGCACAAAGAAAAUCGGAAAUAGCGGCCACAGGAAGUUAUAAAAGGAUUGUCAUUAGAACAUUCUAGAGGGUCUACCUAAUCCAUUUUUCUGUUUCAUUGUUUGUGUAUAACUGAGGAGAAUAUUUUCUAUUUAUUUUCUUUCUUGUACAGCAAUUAUUAACAGAUUUUGGUACCUCUUCUGUAUAAAUAUAGAAUUCUAGUGGAUGUAAGAUUUAAUGGAAAUGCAUAUAUAGUUUUUCUCUCAAUUUAGAUUGUUUAGCAAUUUUUUUUGGCUGCCGAACAUAUUCUUAUACGGUAUCAGAGCAACAUGACUAAUCCUGUUAACACAAAUGAUGAUCAAAACUCAAAUUCUCCUUCCUCUCCUACAAAUACAAAUCCAAGUCCCAGCACUCAUCAUCCAUCUCAACCAAAUAGCCCAUAUUUUAUUAGUCCCAGUGAUAGCAGUGGC